GAUGAACGCUGGCGGCGUGCCUAACACAUGCAAGUCGAACGAAGCGCCUUACCGGAUUCUUCGGAUGAAGGUCUGGUGACUGAGUGGCGGACGGGUGAGUAACGCGUGGGUAACCUGCCCUGUACAGGGGGAUAACAGCUGGAAACGGCUGCUAAUACCGCAUAAGCGCACGAGGAGACAUCUCCUUGUGUGAAAGACUCCGGUGGUACAGGAUGGGCCCGCGUCUGAUUAGCUGGUUGGCAGGGUAACGGCCUACCAAGGCAACGAUCAGUAGCCGGUAUGAGAGGAUGAACGGACACAUUUGAACUGAGACACAGUCCAAACUCCUACGGGAGGCAGCAGUGGGGAAUAGUGCACAAUGGGGGAAACGCUGAUGCAGCAACGCCGCGUGAGUGAAGAAGUAUGUCGGUAUGUAAAGCUCUAUCAGCAGGGAAGAUAAUGACGGUACCUGACUAAGAAGCUCCGGCUAAAUACGUG
This 477-nucleotide ribosomal RNA is filed under the name uncultured bacterium. RNAcentral's name for it is "partial 16S ribosomal RNA". It matches the Rfam family "Bacterial small subunit ribosomal RNA", at positions 28 to 507 of the family's 1533-position model. The record is from RNAcentral.